CGUUUCUAAUGGCUGUGGAGAUCCAGCUUGAAAGUCCUCUGAGAGUCAUUGGAAUGAAGAGCACUUUGUGAAGCCCUCGUAAUUAUUAUGGGAUUUCGGGGUGUGUGGAAAUGAUUCAUGGAGACCUUUCCCAGCCAGCAGGCUCUUGGAGCCAGGUGAGCUCUUCCCUGGAAUGUGAAGCACGCAGCCCAGCAACUGGGAGGAACAGGUUUGGCAGGACAUUUGAAGUUGUUGGAAGCAGAGAGCUCUACAGAGCCACAUCCCUGCUCUGCCUCCCAGCUGGAUGUUCCUCUCUGCCCCACUGCUGAGCUGGGGAGCAUGGACACGCUGCGCAGGAGCCUGUCCCGAUGGAAAAGGUACCACAUCAAGGUGCACCUGGCUGAUGAGGACACCAUGAUGUCCCUGACAGUCAAGCCCAGAGACACGGUGAUGGACCUCCGGGCUCACCUGGUACGGGAGGGGGUCACUUCAUGGAAGAAGACAUUUUAUUACAACUCCAGGCAGCUGGAAGAACACGAGACUCUCAAAGAAGCCAACAUCCAGAAUGGUUCUGUCCUGCUUCUUGUCAGCAAUCCAAGAUGAUGCCCAAGAGCAGAGCCAAAGCCAC
Molecule: long non-coding RNA, 607 nt
Organism: Calypte anna (Anna's hummingbird)
Lineage: Eukaryota; Metazoa; Chordata; Aves; Apodiformes; Trochilidae
Exons: 2
Source: RefSeq, a predicted model, not a curated record